This 805-nucleotide long non-coding RNA is filed under the name Phoenix dactylifera (date palm). RNAcentral's name for it is "long non-coding RNA (PDAC_LNC015119)". The record is from RNAcentral. Lineage: Eukaryota; Viridiplantae; Streptophyta; Magnoliopsida; Arecales; Arecaceae.
UCUUUCUUUCUCCUUCUUUCUCCUUCAUUUCGGUUUCUUGUUUUGAUUGUUAAAACUGUUUUGGUUCAUCAUCGGUACGGCUCGGUACCCUCCGAACCAAAUAAUUCGGGAUGGUUCCGCCGACCGUAUGUAAAAAUGUUAUGAUGAGUAUUUUUUUCAUGGCUAACUCUUUUUUUUAUCUUAAAAUCAAAGUCUCAAGUAUCUUGGCAUGAAUACAUAUCUCAUGUACACAUAUGUAGUGUAUUGGCUUAUUAAAAUUGAAAGUUCAAAUAAGUCAGUUCAAGCAUAAAGAUGCAAACGCAGAGGCAAAAUUGGCUUCUUGUGUUUUAGCUUUUUGCCAAACUACCUAGGCUUCCUGCUUCUCUAGAGAUGGUUGAAGACAUCCUUAUCUCGAAUGUAUCACAUAUUAGUACUUUAGUAACUUCGGAUAAGUUCGUCACAGGAAAAUGAUGGAGAAAGUAGGACUAUCCAAUUAUUUGGUGAAGGCAAUUUAAUUAAAAACUUUUUCACCUCUGAUGCAUAGAAGUGCUCUUUCCCGAUAUACUUCUCUUUAUACAUAUAGGGCUCGUUUGGUUCGCGGGAAGUAUUUUCCCUCCUAGGAAUAUGAUUCCUGGGAAUCAUAUUCCUAGGAAGAGGAUACCUAGGAAAGUACUUUUGGCAUGUUUGGUUAACCAUGGGAAAGUGACAAAUUUCCAAAGUGCUUAUGUUUGGUUGACCAUCCACUUUCCUAGGAAAGUUAUGUAUAAUUCCUAUUAUGCCCUUAAUAAAAAUUAGGUCUUUAAUGCCUCUUUAAUGCUUAUUUAAU